Molecule: long non-coding RNA, 1580 nt
Organism: Sciurus carolinensis (gray squirrel)
Lineage: Eukaryota; Metazoa; Chordata; Mammalia; Rodentia; Sciuridae
Exons: 3
Source: RefSeq, a predicted model, not a curated record
UGACUCUGAACUCUCGACCUUCCUGCCUCAGGCUCCUGAGCCACUGGGAUUACAGACUUUACCUGAGGCAUGCCUGCCCUCAAGCAAGGAUCCUGGGACAAGUAUGGAAGCCCACACUGUGAGGAUCAGAGCAUCCUGUUGAAAAACAAAACGUUUCUUCGUUCAAGACAAGAAAAUAUUAGCCGGAUCCAGUGGCGCGUGCCUGUCAUCCUGACUGCUCAGGAGGUUGAGGCAGGAGGAUCCCUCGAGUCCAGGAGUUCCAGCUUCCUGUUCAGUCAGUGGGAACCUCCAGAAUAUAGGAACGCUUCCUGCCCCUUCUUAUUUUGUAUGACCCACGUGUUAGAGAGAUCAAGUUGUCUGAUCUAACUCCUUACAACUACCAAAUGCUCUUCCUACCUCCCCUCUAGAGAGUGUGCUUAUCUGUGCUUAUCUGUCCUUGACCCUUUGAAAAGCAGGACUGUUUUUGAAUGUCAACUCACAUCAAAACAUCAUUGUAUCUGGAAAGGAUCUUUAAGAACAUGUAACCCAAGAGGUCUUAAGCUGAACGUAGGUUUGACGGACCUAUCAAGCCCCCACGUGGAGGACACAGCAUGGAGACUUGCCUCGGUGUGGUGUCAGGUGACUGGAUGGCUCUUUCCCUUCCUUUCCCAGAAACCUGGAAAAGUGUAAAGAACCAGCCUGAAAAGAUGGUCAUGCUUGGGAAACUUUUUUCUCCAGUUUCUUGUCGUACUAUUCCUGGACUAAGGUCCAGUUCUAACUGCUUGCUCUUAAGAAGGAACCUGUAAAUGGAGUAGGAAAGAAUGGACUUGAGACCUUGCACAUAGCGAGCCCUGAAGAAGGUUUGCUGAAGGAAUCAGCAAUGCAUGGAUGACUACAGGUUGAAACACGAGAUUUUCUUAUUUUUGUUGUUGUUCUUAUUUUGAGACAGAGUCUUGCUGAGGUGCUCAGGUUGGCCUCAAACUUGCAAUUCUCCUGCCUUGGCCCCCUGAAUAACUGGAAUUACAGGUGUGCACUUCCACACCUGGCUGAAAUAGUUUUUGAAGACGUGUGUGUGUGUGUGUGUGUGUGUGUGUGUGCCUCUAGAAACAAACGCUGAGGUUUCUAGAAGCAAACCUGAGGUUACAGAACCAAUGAAUGGAAAGUAAGACUCCAGGAUUUGUUUAUAUCAUUUGGGCCCUGGACCAAACCUUUCCUGAAGCCAGUAAGCUUUGCACUUUUCAGCAAAUUCCCCUCACUGUUUAAGUCAACUUAAUUUUGUUUUCUGAUUCUUGCUGGGAAAAAAAUCAUUAACCAAUAUAAGCUUAUGUAAAACCCAAUGUGUAUUUAUGAAGAUUUCCUAACUCCCAAACCAACAUUUAGCCAAAACCAAUUUCUCUAAUAUUCUCAGUAUGGUAAAGUUAUGUACUUAUCACUGUGCAUUGAAGACAGAUUUGUGUAAAAGUAAUUGGACCACGAUCUUACAGUGAGUCAGCUGUAACACAAUAAUUAAAAUCAAGGAACUCGAAUUCCCACAUCCCUGGAGACAUCAUCAAGUCUCUUAGGAAAUAAUGUUGACAUGUUGCCUAAAGUGACAUUUAGAU